AGCGUACACGGUGGAUGCCCUGGCAGUCAGAGGCGAUGAAGGACGUGCUAAUCUGCGAAAAGCGCCGGUAAGGUGAUAUGAACCGUUAUAACCGGCGAUGUCCGAAUGGGGAAACCCGGUGCACUUCGGUGCAUCAUCGUUAGCUGAAUACAUAGGCUAACGAAGCGAACCGGGGGAACUGAAACAUCUAAGUACCCCGAGGAAAAGAAAUCAACCGAGAUUCCCCCAGUAGCGGCGAGCGAACGGGGAACAGCCCAGAGCCUGAAUCAGCUUGUGUGUCAGUGGAACGGUCUGGAAAGGCCGGCGAUACAGGGUGACAGCCCCGUACACGAAGGCACACAGGCUGUGAGCUCGAUGAGUAGGGCGGGACACGUGAUAUCCUGUCUGAAGAUGGGGGGACCAUCCUCCAAGGCUAAAUACUCCUGACUGACCGAUAGUGAACCAGUACCGUGAGGGAAAGGCGAAAAGAACCCCGGCGAGGGGAGUGAAACAGAACCUGAAACCGUGUACGUACAAGCAGUGGGAGCCUUCGUAAGAGGGUGACUGCGUACCUUUUGUAUAAUGGGUCAGCGACUUAUAUUCUGUAGCAAGGUUAACCGUAUAGGGGAGCCGAAGGGAAACCGAGUCUUAAUUGGGCGUUAAGUUGCAGGGUAUAGACCCGAAACCCGGUGAUCUAGCCAUGGGCAGGUUGAAGGUUGGGUAACACUAACUGGAGGACCGAACCGACUAAUGUUGAAAAAUUAGCGGAUGACCUGUGGCUGGGGGUGAAAGGCCAAUCAAACCGGGAGAUAGCUGGUUCUCCCCGAAAGCUAUUUAGGUAGCGCCUCGUGAACUCAUCUCCGGGGGUAGAGCACUGUUUCGGCUAGGGGGCCAUCCCGGCUUACCAACCCGAUGCAAACUGCGAAUACCGGAGAAUGUUAUCACGGGAGACACACGGCGGGUGCUAACGUCCGUCGUGAAGAGGGAAACAACCCAGACCGCCAGCUAAGGUCCCAAAGUCAUGGUUAAGUGGGAAACGAUGUGGGAAGGCCCAGACAGCCAGGAUGUUGGCUUAGAAGCAGCCAUCAUUUAAAGAAAGCGUAAUAGCUCACUGGUCGAGUCGGCCUGCGCGGAAGAUGUAACGGGGCUAAACCAUGCACCGAAGCUGCGGCAGCGACGCUUAGGCGUUGUUGGGUAGGGGAGCGUUCUGUAAGCCUGUGAAGGUGUGCUGUGAGGCAUGCUGGAGGUAUCAGAAGUGCGAAUGCUGACAUAAGUAACGAUAAAGCGGGUGAAAAGCCCGCUCGCCGGAAGACCAAGGGUUCCUGUCCAACGUUAAUCGGGGCAGGGUGAGUCGACCCCUAAGGCGAGGCCGAAAGGCGUAGUCGAUGGGAAACAGGUUAAUAUUCCUGUACUUGGUGUUACUGCGAAGGGGGGACGGAGAAGGCUAUGUCAGCCGGGCGACGGUCGUCCCGGUUUAAGCGUGUAGGCUGACCUUCCAGGCAAAUCCGGAAGGUUAAGGCUGAGGCGUGAUGACGAGGCACCACGGUGCUGAAGUGACAAAUGCCCUGCUUCCAGGAAAAGCCUCUAAGCAUCAGGUAACAUUAAAUCGUACCCCAAACCGACACAGGUGGUCAGGUAGAGAAUACCAAGGCGCUUGAGAGAACUCGGGUGAAGGAACUAGGCAAAAUGGUGCCGUAACUUCGGGAGAAGGCACGCUGACAUGUAGGUGAAGCCCCUGCGGGUGGAGCUGAAGUCAGUCGAAGAUACCAGCUGGCUGCAACUGUUUAUUAAAAACACAGCACUGUGCAAACACGAAAGUGGACGUAUACGGUGUGACGCCUGCCCGGUGCCGGAAGGUUAAUUGAUGGGGUUAUCGCAAGAGAAGCUCCUGAUCGAAGCCCCGGUAAACGGCGGCCGUAACUAUAACGGUCCUAAGGUAGCGAAAUUCCUUGUCGGGUAAGUUCCGACCUGCACGAAUGGCGUAAUGAU
RNAcentral lists this ribosomal RNA (1968 nucleotides) under Cronobacter malonaticus. Its description in RNAcentral is "bacterial LSU rRNA". It matches the Rfam family "Bacterial large subunit ribosomal RNA", at positions 14 to 2008 of the family's 2925-position model. The record is from RNAcentral. Lineage: Bacteria; Pseudomonadati; Pseudomonadota; Gammaproteobacteria; Enterobacterales; Enterobacteriaceae.